This 460-nucleotide ribosomal RNA is filed under the name uncultured bacterium. RNAcentral describes it as "SSU rRNA". It matches the Rfam family "Bacterial small subunit ribosomal RNA", at positions 26 to 518 of the family's 1533-position model. The record is from RNAcentral.
AGAAUCAACGCUGGCGGCGUGCCUAACACAUGCAAGUCGCACGAGAAAGGGGAGCAAUCCCUGAGUAAAGUGGCGCACGGGUGAGUAACACGUGAAUAAUCUACCUCCGAGUGGGGAAUAACUGAGAGAAAUCUUAGCUAAUACCGCAUAACACUUACGAGUCAAAGCAGCAAUGCGCUUGGAGAGGAGUUCGCGGCCGAUUAGUUAGUUGGCGGGGUAAUGGCCCACCAAGACGAUGAUCGGUACCCGGCCUGAGAGGGCGCACGGACACACUGGAACUGAAACACGGUCCAGACUCCUACGGGAGGCAGCAGUGGGGAAUUUUGCGCAAUGGGGGAAACCCUGACGCAGCAACGCCGCGUGGAGGAUGAAGCCCCUUGGGGUGUAAACUCCUUUCGAUCGGGAAGAUAAUGACGGUACCGAUAUAAGAAGCCCCGGCUAACUUCGCGCCAGCAGCCGC